UAACAAGGAUUCCCUUAGUAACUGCGAGUGAAGUGGGAAAAGCUCAAAUUUAAAAUCUGACGGGCUUUGGCUUGUCCGAGUUGUAACCUAGAGAAGUGCUGCCUGUGCUGGACCAUGUAUAAGUCUCCUGGAACGGAGUGUCACAGAGGGUGAGAAUCCCGUCUUUGACAUGGACUGCCAGUGCAUUGUGGUGUGCUCUCAAAGAGUCGAGUUGUUUGGGAAUGCAGCUCUAAAUGGGUGGUAAAUUCCAUCUAAAGCUAAAUAUUGGCGAGAGACCGAUAGCGAACAAGUACCGUGAGGGAAAGAUGAAAAGAACUUUGGAAAGAGAGUUAAAUAGUACGUGAAAUUGUUGAAAGGGAAACAUUUGAAGUCAGUUGUGUGGGCUGGGGAUCAACCUGGCUUUUUUGCUUGGGUGUAUUUCCUGGUUGACAGGUCAACAUCAGUUAUAACUGCUAGAAAAAAGCCGAGGAAAUGUGGCACCUCUGGGUGUGUUAUAGUCCUUGGUUGUAUUGUGGUGGUUGGGACUGAGGCAUGCAGCACACCGCAAGGCUGGGCUUUGGCCACGUUUGUGCUUAGGAUGUUGGCAUAAUGGCUUUAAGUGAC
RNAcentral lists this ribosomal RNA (603 nucleotides) under Amanita sp. SFC20140912-22. RNAcentral describes it as "eukaryotic LSU rRNA". It matches the Rfam family "Eukaryotic large subunit ribosomal RNA", at positions 66 to 648 of the family's 3401-position model. The record is from RNAcentral. Lineage: Eukaryota; Fungi; Basidiomycota; Agaricomycetes; Agaricales; Amanitaceae.